AGCCAACAGGCCAGCUGGGUAUAUAGAAUGGGGGUACAUUAAAAUGGCUGUGUAAAGAGCUGCAGGGGAAGACCCUUUCCUUAUAUUUUCAUGUGGGGGAAAGCCUUUUCUUGAUUAUACCUUGGAGGCUUCUUUCCACACCAUUAUUGCCCUUGGCUCUGGAGCCUCCACAAACAAGUGGAUGUUCCCUUCCCCCAAACUUUUGCAAAGAGUGCAGCUGAUACAUAGAGAAGGAAAAGCAGAGCCCCAUAUCACCAGCCAUGAGCCAACCUGAGAUCUCUUCAAACAUCUGCUGCAUUUAGGCACAUCACAAGACAAGGCUCCACUGAACAGCAACUCUGGACAUUGUCUCCCACAGGUCUGCACCCUGAAAGAUGCACUGGCUCCUUGUUACUUGCCUAUAAAUUCUCUUUUCUUGAAUGUGCUUGCCUGGGAGUGGGCUGAGAAGGCUCGUGGAGCUGGUGUGGUGUUGAGAGGAUCAUUAGUGGUUUUGUGCCACCUGUGAUAAAAAAAGCCUGUGAUUUCCAGUUGAAAGCCCACUGUUGCUCUGAAAACUCAGCUUCUGAGCUUGCUAACAUAGUUUUCUAAAGACUUUCCCAGGACAGUAACUGUAAACAUAGAUAUGUGUACAUUCUUUCUGUUCCACGUCUUGUGAUGGGCAUCUCUCAUGGCCAGUGCAGUGGGAAAGUGUUAUCCUGACCAUCCAAUCCCUGGCCGUGGUCAGAAGCCUAUAAAUCCUGGGAGGAAAAAUAAACUUUCUCUUCCUUUCACCACACCUCGACCUGUGUCCGUGUGAUCUAUUCAUCUUCAGCGGUAACAGCCCACUGUUGCAUGGAGGGUGAGCACCAACCUGUCACCAGGGCCUUGGCACAGGCAAGAUGAGCAUGAGCUUGAGUUUGAGUCUGAGCAAACAAAAACAAGUUUGAGCAUCGUGGCACCAUGGUCUUGCAUCCUUGGGAUUGCUGAGACUCCUUCAGAAGUACAAGGUAAGAAGAGCAUCCCAGUGAAGAAGCUCAGUGCAGAGGUGCCAGCUGUCCUCAGAGCCCUGCUCAGGAGGAGCCAUGCCCUUCUGCAUGUAGGAUUGUGCUACAGCUUCCACGCCAAUAUUCCUACCCUCUGUAUUUGCCUAAUCUUUCAGAUAGUUCAGCUGAGCCUCCUGCUCUCCAGGCUGAGAAAGGAAAAUGGCAGAAGAAUGGUAGUAGUUUAGGAAUAACAGUAUGUAGAGAUGAGAAAAUCAACAUCUGGAAAAGGAAAAAUGUUUGAGGAUUGAUCUCAAUUCGAGAGGAAUCCUAGAAAAUAGGUGCAGGAAAUGACAGGCAUGAGUCUGCGUUUGGGUUUGUUUGCUUCAUGCUGCAGUGAUUUUUGUGUGCCUGGAUCUUUUGAGCUCCUCUGCAAAGCCCAGCCCAGCAGAAUCCUCCACCAGCUGCAGCAAGGGAAAUGCUGCUGAGCUAGUUGGGUUGGAAUAUUCCUGGAUCAUGGGAUGUACAGCUGAGAAAGACAGGGGUUUUGUCUGAACUCCAGUGGUGAGUUCCUGCUUUCCCCAGCUUGGUCUUGGGGUUACCUACUGCUGGCUGUCCAAUACCUCAAGGAAACCUCCAAGAAAGAUGGAGAGACACUGAUUACAAGGAUCUGGAGUGACAGAACAAGGCUGAACAGCUUCAAAGUGAAAGAGAGGGGGUUGAUAUUAGAUGUUACCAUCCUGACUGCUUUGAUAUCCAUGAGGAGCCAGGGUUUUAAAUUUUAUUUGAAGGACAGAAGCUUCUACUUAGCCAAACACUUGGACAUGGUACAGUGUGAGAGCCAAGGAGAGAAACCUCUGUUCUGGCAUGAGUAGUGC
RNAcentral lists this long non-coding RNA (1837 nucleotides) under Cyanistes caeruleus (blue tit). RNAcentral's name for it is "lncRNA (ENSCCEG00000023008.1)". Lineage: Eukaryota; Metazoa; Chordata; Aves; Passeriformes; Paridae. The record is from RNAcentral.